RNAcentral lists this ribosomal RNA (1143 nucleotides) under uncultured bacterium. RNAcentral's name for it is "bacterial SSU rRNA". It matches the Rfam family "Bacterial small subunit ribosomal RNA", at positions 238 to 1398 of the family's 1533-position model. The record is from RNAcentral.
UGAUUUAGGUAGUUUGGUGGGGUAACGGCCUACCAAGCCAACGAUCAGUAGCCGACCUGAGAGGGUGACCGCCCACAUUGGGACUGAGACACGGCCCAAACUCCUACGGGAGGCAGCAGUGGGGAAUAUUGCACAAUGGGGGAAACCCUGAUGCAGCGACGCCGCGUGAGCGAAGAAGUAUUUCGGUAUGUAAAGCUCUAUCAGCAGGGAAGAAAAUGACGGUACCUGACUAAGAAGCACCGGCUAAAUACGUGCCAGCAGCCGCGGUAAUACGUAUGGUGCAAGCGCUAUCCGGAUUUACUGGGUGUAAAGGGAGCGUAGACGGCUGUGUAAGUCUGAAGUGAAAGCCCGGGGCUCAACCCCGGGACUGCUUUGGAAACUAUGCAGCUAGAGUGUCGGAGAGGUAAGUGGAAUUCCCAGUGUAGCGGUGAAAUGCGUAGAUAUUGGGAGGAACACCAGUGGCGCAGGCGGCUUACUGGACGAUGACUGACGUUGAGGCUCGAAAGCGUGGGGAGCAAACAGGAGUCCAUACCCUGGUAGUCCACGCCGUAAACGACCCCUAAUGGGUGUCGGGGAGCAAAGCUCUUCGGUGCCGCAGCAAACGCAAUAAGUAGUCCACCUGGGGAGUACGUUCGCAAGAAUGAAACUCAAAGGAAUUGACGGGGACCCGCACAAGCGGUGGAGCAUGUGGUUAAUUCGAAGCAACGCGAAGAACCUUACCUGCUCUUGACAUCCCGGUGACCGGCAUGUAAUGAUGCCUUUUCUUCGGAACACCGGUGACAGGUGGUGCAUGGUUGUCGUCAGCUCGUGUCGUGAGAUGUUGGGUUAAGUCCCGCAACGAGCGCAACCCUUAUCUUCAGUAGCCAGCAAUUCGGAUGGGCACUCUGGAGAGACUGCCAGGGAUAACCUGGAGGAAGGUGGGGAUGACGUCAAAUCAUCAUGCCCCUUAUGAGCAGGGCUACACACGUGCUACAAUGGCGUAAACAAAGGGAAGCGAGCCUGCGAGGGUAAGCAAAUCUCAAAAAUAACGUCUCAGUUCGGAUUGUAGUUUGCAACUCGACUACAUGAAGCUGGAAUCGCUAGUAAUCGCGAAUCAGCAUGUCGCGGUGAAUACGUUCCCGGGUCUUGCACACACCGCCUGUC